Molecule: ribosomal RNA, 496 nt
Filed under: uncultured bacterium
Lineage: Bacteria
Description: partial 16S ribosomal RNA
Rfam family: Bacterial small subunit ribosomal RNA
Source: RNAcentral
GAUGAACGCUGGCGGCGUGCCUAAUACAUGCAAGUCGAGCGAACAGAUAAGGAGCUUGCUCCUUUGACGUUAGCGGCGGACGGGUGAGUAACACGUGGGUAACCUACCUAUAAGACUGGAAUAACUCCGGGAAACCGGGCUAAUGCCGGAUAACAUUUAGAACCGCAUGGUUCUAAAGUGAAAGAUGGUUUUGCUAUCACUUAUAGAUGGACCCGCGCCGUAUUAGCUAGUUGGUAAGGUAACGGCUUACCAAGGCAACGAUACGUAGCCGACCUGAGAGGGUGAUCGGCCACACUGGAACUGAGACACGGUCCAGACUCCUACGGGAGGCAGCAGUAGGGAAUCUUCCGCAAUGGGCGAAAGCCUGACGGAGCAACGCCGCGUGAGUGAUGAAGGUCUUCGGAUCGUAAAACUCUGUUAUUAGGGAAGAACAAAUGUGUAAGUAACUGUGCACGUCUUGACGGUACCUAAUCAGAAAGCCACGGCUAACUACGUG